GACGAACGCUGGCGGCGGGCUUAACACAUGCAAGUCGAACGGAAAGGCCCUGCUUUUGUGGGGUGCUCGAGUGGCGAACGGGUGAGUAACACUGGAGUAACCUGCCCUUGACUUUGGGAUAACUUCAGGAAACUGGGGCUAAUACCGGAUAGGAGCUCCUGCUGCAGGGUGGGGGUUGGAAAGUUUCGGCGGUUGGGGAUGGACUCGCGGCUUAUCAGCUUGUUGGUGGGGUAGUGGCUUACCAAGGCUUUGACGGGUAGCCGGCCUGAGAGGGUGACCGGCCACAUUGGGACUGAGAUACGGCCCAGACUCCUACGGGAGGAAGCAGUGGGGAAUAUUGCCCAAUGGGCGGAAGCCUGCUGCAGCAACGCCGCGUGCGGGAUGACGACCUUCGGGUUGUAAACCGCUUUAGCCUGUGACGAAGCGUGAGUGACGGUAAUGGGUAAAGAAGCACCGGCUAACUACGUG
RNAcentral lists this ribosomal RNA (468 nucleotides) under uncultured bacterium. Its description in RNAcentral is "partial 16S ribosomal RNA". It matches the Rfam family "Bacterial small subunit ribosomal RNA", at positions 28 to 507 of the family's 1533-position model. The record is from RNAcentral.